GCCUAUUAGUGGGGGACAACAUUCCGAAAGGAAUGCUAAUACCGCAUACGCCCUACGGGGGAAAGCAGGGGAUCUUCGGACCUUGCGCUAAUAGAUGAGCCUAAGUCAGAUUAGCUAGUUGGUGGGGUAAAGGCCUACCAAGGCGACGAUCUGUAGCGGGUCUGAGAGGAUGAUCCGCCACACUGGGACUGAGACACGGCCCAGACUCCUACGGGAGGCAGCAGUGGGGAAUAUUGGACAAUGGGCGAAAGCCUGAUCCAGCCAUGCCGCGUGUGUGAAGAAGGCCUUUUGGUUGUAAAGCACUUUAAGCGAGGAGGAGGCUACUUGGAUUAAUACUCUAGGAUAGUGGACGUUACUCGCAGAAUAAGCACCGGCUAACUCUGUGCCAGCAGCCGCGGUAAUACAGAGGGUGCGAGCGUUAAUCGGAUUUACUGGGCGUAAAGCGUGCGUAGGCGGCUUUUUAAGUCGGAUGUGAAAUCCCUGAGCUUAACUUAGGAAUUGCAUUCGAUACUGGGAAGCUAGAGUAUGGGAGAGGAUGGUAGAAUUCCAGGUGUAGCGGU
RNAcentral lists this ribosomal RNA (560 nucleotides) under Acinetobacter sp. NH88-11. RNAcentral's name for it is "bacterial SSU rRNA". It matches the Rfam family "Bacterial small subunit ribosomal RNA", at positions 128 to 682 of the family's 1533-position model. The record is from RNAcentral. Lineage: Bacteria; Pseudomonadati; Pseudomonadota; Gammaproteobacteria; Moraxellales; Moraxellaceae.